CCUGCACUCAUCCUGCCGCUGCGCUCUCUGCCAGCUGCCAGCCCGGCACAGUCUGCAACUGAGAGAAUGCCACCCAUUUAGGAAAGAAGACUGCUGUGCUGGAAGGAAAGGUUUCCUAGGCAAGCCUUGCUGUGAGCGGGCACGGUGCACAGCGGAGUAAAAGUUCCGCAGGUUGUGAGAAAACAAAAACAAAACCUGUCAAGCUGGGGCCUCUUCCUGAAAUGUAAAGCAAACUGAAAAUUCAUUAAGAUGUUGAGAGACGUGGAUGAGUCAAAUAAAAUGGAUAAGCGCUGGCUCCAGACUAAAGAGAAGUAAAAUUAGAGUAUGAGUCUGUGGAGUUUGCUCAGUGAUUAAAGCAUUUGUGCAAUCAAGAGGACUAGAUUUGGAUUCUAAGAAAUCAAGUGAAUGUUGGGUAGAAGUGGAAGUCCACCUAAAAUUCUAGUCUCAAGUCAGAGAUGGGAUCCCUGGAUUAAGCUGGUCAGUUAGCUGUUGUUUUAAUGAUUGACCAUGCCUCAAAAGAAGAGAGAAGACCAGAUGAGGAAGAUCUCUGACACCAAUCUUAGGCCUCCACCCAUAAACACACAUGAAAAAAUGAGCAGAAAUAUAGUCUUCUAGGGACAAGGUGUGUAUUCACUUGUUUCCUGCCUGGAAGCUCUACCUGGAAAGCAGAGGAGAAAAUCUCAAGAAGCCAACUGCUUUUGUUGAAUGACCAACAGCAGUACCAAGGAGUCAUUAUAGCUCCUUACAGUGGACUACUGAGAGCAAUGUAUGGGCUAGAUGCAAGCCAAAGAUAAUGAAUGGAAAAAAAGGAAGAGAGAGAGAACAGUUUCUACUUUUCUUUUUUCCAGGAAGAAAUAAUUUAUUAUUUUGAUUCACAGUUCCAAAGGGAGAGAGUCCAUCAUGGCAGAAAGGCAUGGCAGCAGGCAGAGGAACAUGUCAGUAGAAGGAAGCUGCUGAUCAUAUUUUAAUCCAUACAGGAAGCAGAGAGCUUGUUUUGUUGUUACCGUUUUAAAUUUGUUUUUCAAGACAGGGUUUCUUUGUGUAGCCUUGGCUGUCCUAGAACUUGCUUUGUAGACCAGGUUGGCCUGGAACUCAUGACAUGCAUCUCCCCAUCCCCAUCUGCUGUUUUAAAAUUUUGUUUUUGAGACAGGUCUGUGUAAACCUGGACCUAUGUAGACCAGGCUGGCUUCCAAAUCACAGAGAUCUCCCUGCCUCUGCUUCCUGAGUGUUGGGAUUAAGAGUGCAUCACCAUGCCCAGCCUUAUUUACUUAUUAUUUAUUUUUGUGCACUGCAUGUGUUCAGGAGCCUGUGGAGGCCAGAGAGGGCUUGGAUUCCCUAGUACUAGAGGUACUGAUGGUUGUAAGCCACCGUAUGAAUGGAUGAUAGAAACUGAACCUGAGUUCUUUGCAAGAGCACUAAGUGCUCUUUACUGCUGAGUGAGCCAUUUCUCCAGCCCUUAGAAUAGUUUUUUUUUAUAAUUUAUUUUUAUUUUAUGUGCAUUGGUGUUUUGCCUGAAUGUAUGUACAUGUGAAGGUGUCAGAUCUAGAUUCAUAUGCUAUUAGGCUGGAAAAAAAAAAAAAACCCAACCCAAACCAGAAAAGAAUUUAGCAGUGCUACUAAAGGGGUCUUAGUCUCAUUCUAGGAUUUCAUGAACAGUUACAGGAAUCCAACUGUCAGAAAAAUGCUGUUUUGUGGAUACUAUUUCUACAAAAAGCUGAAUUAAAAGUUGA
Molecule: long non-coding RNA, 1730 nt
Organism: Psammomys obesus (fat sand rat)
Lineage: Eukaryota; Metazoa; Chordata; Mammalia; Rodentia; Muridae
Exons: 3
Source: RefSeq, a predicted model, not a curated record